RNAcentral lists this transfer RNA (64 nucleotides) under Dorysthenes granulosus. RNAcentral's name for it is "tRNA-Thr". It matches the Rfam family "tRNA". Rfam says of the family: Transfer RNA (tRNA) molecules are approximately 80 nucleotides in length. Their secondary structure includes four short double-helical elements and three loops (D, anti-codon, and T loops). Lineage: Eukaryota; Metazoa; Arthropoda; Insecta; Coleoptera; Cerambycidae. The record is from RNAcentral.
GUUUUAAUAAUUUAAUAAAAAUACUGGUCUUGUAAACCAGAAAUAGGAAAUUACCUUUAAAACA